AUUGAACGCUGGCGGCAGGCCUAACACAUGCAAGUCGAGCGGUUGAGGUAGCUUGCUUCCGAUGCAGCGGCGGACGGGUGAGUAAUACAUGGGAAUCUGCCUGGUAGUGGGGGACAACGUUUCGAAAGGAACGCUAAUACCGCAUACGCCCUACGGGGGAAAGGGGGGGAUCUUCGGACCUCUCGCUAUCAGAUGAGCCCAUGUCGGAUUAGCUUGUUGGUGAGGUAAAGGCUCACCAAGGCGAAGAUCCGUAACUGGUCUGAGAGGAUGAUCAGUCACACUGGAACUGAGACACGGUCCAGACUCCUACGGGAGGCAGCAGUGGGGAAUAUUGGACAAUGGGCGCAAGCCUGAUCCAGCCAUGCCGCGUGUGUGAAGAAGGCCUUAGGGUUGUAAAGCACUUUCAGUGGGGAGAAAGGUCAUUCACCUAAUACGUGAGUGAAUUGAUGUUACCCACAGAAGAAGCACCGGCUAACUCCGUGCCAGCCGCCGCCGUAA
Molecule: ribosomal RNA, 498 nt
Filed under: uncultured bacterium
Lineage: Bacteria
Description: partial 16S ribosomal RNA
Rfam family: Bacterial small subunit ribosomal RNA
Source: RNAcentral